Molecule: long non-coding RNA, 378 nt
Filed under: Carica papaya (papaya)
Lineage: Eukaryota; Viridiplantae; Streptophyta; Magnoliopsida; Brassicales; Caricaceae
Description: long non-coding RNA (CPAP_LNC014470)
Source: RNAcentral
UCACUCAGGGCCUCGAAUUCUCUUUACAGCCUCUAGCAACAGGCCGUUAGAUAGACCGCCGACGAGCUUCUCUUCCCAGCAAUGAUUUUCUUACUUGUCUGAUAUAUUCAAGCCGAUUAUCUGACGCAUCCUGAAGAUGAGGUAUUGGAACGCACAAGAAGGCAAAAUGGUUUCCCCACGGUGAAUCGGUGCCGUUUUUGAUCAUCUCCUUCACUGAUUUGUAACUUCUGGUCAUCCUGGUAUUCAGCAAAACUAACGCCGUUGAAUUUGUUUUAGUUGACGGUGUCGGUUCUAAUUCUUGCACGUAAAGUCGACAUCCCAAUAAAAUCACUCCCGUUAUCACGUCGUUUACCGUCUGCAUGCAUGCAUUAAAAUGAA